RNAcentral lists this ribosomal RNA (1542 nucleotides) under Triticum aestivum (bread wheat). Its description in RNAcentral is "partial small subunit ribosomal RNA". Lineage: Eukaryota; Viridiplantae; Streptophyta; Magnoliopsida; Poales; Poaceae. The record is from RNAcentral.
AUGAUGAGUGCAGAUGCUGAAGUAAAUAUGGUCAAGGAAGCUGUGCUUCAAACUGAUAUGCCAACAGUAGUGAGCAGAGAGCCAACCAAUGUCAGAGAAGUUCAACAGAUCAAGGGGAAGACUCCCCUUUCAAAAGUCCCACCAAAACCACCUAAGCAGAAGAUUGUCAAGUUUGCCAGGGGCGCAAAGGGGAAAUAUGCCACAAAAGAUUUGGGGUUCAGAGACGAGAGAGAGCUGCGAGCCGCAUCCAUUGAUGCAGGGGUGCCAAGUUCUGCUAGGUUGCUGCCAACUCAGACUGGAAAGAUGCCAACUACAGAUACCAGUGUGCCAACUGAUGUGUCAGUUAGCAGCAUGGUCACAGUUAAAACCACCACAGCUGGUCAGAAAGGCACCACUGCAACUGCAAGUCCCAAGGUGCCUACUGAUAGAGAUGCUUCAAUGCCAAACACAAAAGGAGGUGAUCCAACUAUCAAAGUGCCAUCCCCAAGAGCUGACUUUCAGCAACCAUUAACACAAGAGGAGGUGUUCGACAUUAUAAGUAGGUGCAAACCUUCAAGGCCGCCAAGUACAACACUAUUGGGAACCAAGUCAGUGAAUGAUGCACCCGUGUUUGUGCCGCAAGGAGAUGCCCUGGUCCUUGAACCCUUACGAAGAUCAAACUCUUAUCAUGGUGACGGGUUCUGCGAUGCACCAUCUUUUGACCUCGGCAUAGAUGGUGAUGCUCCAGCACCUGCUCCAGCAGCAGAAACAGCGGAAGCCGGUAUGAUCAGCAUCGAUGAGUGUGAGUUGGACCCAGCAGCUGUGAAUGAAGGAUGUGAUGCUGCUGAUGCUGGCAAGGCAAUAGCUCAAGAACUAGAUGUUGGUUCACUAGAGAAUUGCCACACCCCGAUAUGCGCAGAACCAAAACUUGGCACGAGCAGUUCUUCGGGGCCACCUCUUGCACGAAGACAGAGGAGGGUAAGAAGGCCCGCAACAUCUCAAAGGUCUCCAUUCAUUGACUACAACAAGAAGAAGACUUUCAGCACCAAUGAGGUAGUGAACAAGCUUUACGCUACCCUCUUGUAUUGGGUCAGGCAUCACAAAGGAGCAGAUGAUGGAGCUACCAGCCCUGAGAUAAUCAGGUAUGGUGCUUUCUACAUUUCUUUAAAGGAGUUAGUUGAUUCAAUGAAGCCGGUUCAAUGGUUGUCAAAAAUUGUUAUUGAGACUGAAAUCUUACACAUUAUGGAUAACUUACCAGAAGGGUCAAAGAAGGUUGUUAUGCCACUGAGGUUUUCUAUAAAAUUACAGCAAGGGAUGCACAAUGUGAAUGAGAUAAACAAGAAGUUUGAUUACAAGAACCGUCUCGACAAGAAAGACUUGGUCAUGCUGCCAGUGCUCGAGUGUGCAGAUGUAACCGAUAAGGACGGAGGGAGGCAUUAUUGGGUCUUCAGUGUCAACUUGAGGGACGGACGCUUCGAAGUUCUUGAUUCAAGCAGGACGCUAGACAACAUUGAGCUGAUGAACACCGCCUCUACCAUUGCGGGGGCAGUACGCCAGCUAUGA